AACAACAACAGCAUUGAAGCUAUCAACGAAAACAA
This 35-nucleotide unclassified non-coding RNA is filed under the name Bodo saltans. RNAcentral describes it as "partial miscellaneous RNA". The record is from RNAcentral. Lineage: Eukaryota; Euglenozoa; Kinetoplastea; Eubodonida; Bodonidae.